RNAcentral lists this ribosomal RNA (497 nucleotides) under uncultured bacterium. RNAcentral describes it as "partial 16S ribosomal RNA". It matches the Rfam family "Bacterial small subunit ribosomal RNA", at positions 28 to 507 of the family's 1533-position model. The record is from RNAcentral.
GAUGAACGCUGGCGGCGUGCCUAAUACAUGCAAGUAGAACGCUGAAGCUUGGUGCUUGCACCGAGCGGAUGAGUUGCGCACGGGUGAGUAACGCGUAGGUAACCUGCCUCUUAGCGGGGGAUAACUAGGGGAAAGGAUAGCUAAUACCGCAUAAAAGUCGAUAUCGCAUGAUAGUGAGUUGAAAGGUGCAAAUGCAUCACGAAGAGAUGGAUCUGCGGUGUAUUAGCUAGUUAGUGAGGUAACUGCUCACCAAGGCGAGGUUACAUAGACGACCGGAGAGGGUGAUCGGCCGCACUGGGAGUGUGACACGGCCCAGUCGCCUUCGGGAAGCAGCCGGAGGGCAUCUUCGGCCAGGGGGGCAACACUGACCGAGAAACGCCGAGUGCGUGAAGAAGGUUUUCGGAUCGUGAAGCUCGGUUGUCAGAGAAGAAAGCGUGUGAGAGUGGAACGUUCACACUGUGACGGUAACUGAUCAGAAAGCAACGGCUAACUACGUG